Molecule: long non-coding RNA, 2050 nt
Filed under: Cucumis sativus (cucumber)
Lineage: Eukaryota; Viridiplantae; Streptophyta; Magnoliopsida; Cucurbitales; Cucurbitaceae
Description: long non-coding RNA (CSAT_LNC002544)
Source: RNAcentral
CGGAGACGCCGAUGUGACCGUCGAGCAUACUCCUGCCUCGCCGGACGUCUUUGGAUUCGACGAUCCCAGCCCUAACUACUCCCAGGCUCCCUUUGAUCCGAUUCAUGUAGAGAAUGGAAAUGGAAAUGGCUAUGGUGCGGCUGAGGAUGAAGUUGGUGAUGGUGUGUUCGCAUCCGAUGGUCCAAUUCUUCCCCCUCCUAGCGAGAUGGGCGUGGAGGAAGGAUAUGCUCUUCGUGAAUGGCGUCGGUAAGAUCCUGUGACCCUCAAUUCAUUUUUUCAGAUUUCUUGGAACUGAAGAGGUUUUUCUUCUGCUGCUUGUGCUUUGUAUCUCGGUGUCGACUUAGAUCUGAUUCGUUGGCGAACAACUUCAGAUCUCUAUUAGUCAUCUCUUGCUAGUGUUUUUACUUGAUUGCACUGAUUGAUCUAGACUAUUUCUCCACUUUGUCUUAAUAGCUCUAUAUAGAGGGAUUUGAUGAGGGGAAUUAUAUUGAUCGAUUUGCAUUAAAAGGUGGUGAAUUAAAGAACUUAGAUCUAGGGAUAUCUGUACCUCAAUUGGUAGACUUCGAUGAAGAAGCUAUUUCAUUAGUGAGCUCUGAUCGAGGUUUUUAUUAGUAGAUCAGUUAGGCACAAGCCAUGGUGUCAAAUUUCUAAUUAUUAGUGGGUCUGUGUCGUUAUUGAUCUAUGUGGAAGUUCAAGCGGAAUUUAGGUUAAUUUCUCCAAGUUCAAGCAGAAUUCCAGCGGAUUAUUCGUAGAUCAGUCAGGGACAUAGCCAUUUAAGUCAAAUUACUAAUUAUCAGUUUGUGUAUAUUGUUGUUGAUCUAUGUGGAGGUUUAAGCGGAAUUCCAGCGGAAUUUGGUUGAUUAAUCAGGGAGAUAGCCAUUAAGUCAAAUUACUAUUAUUAGUGGAUGUAUAUUGUUGUUGAUCUAUGUGGACCGUGGAAGUUCAAGCGGGGUUCAGGUAAGUCUCUGGUAGAUAAGUAUGGACGAUUCGAUUUAGCCAUGACCCAUACAAAAAUGCAUGCGUGAUUCCUAAAGAGAAAUUGCAUGAUGUAUAUCAUCAAUUGAAAUCUUUUUAGCUAUUGUUUUAUUUUUCUUUGUUGUUUAGUUGUUUUAUUGGAUGUAACAAAAUGUCCUUGUUGACUUCCAUUUUCCUUUUAGAUCGCAGAAAGUGCAAUUUGUAAUGGAUAGCCAAUUUGAGUUUUGAAGAUGUAUUCAAGUAUAUAUCUAUUGUCUUUCGACUCUUUCCAAUUUUGAACUUUAGAAAUUAUGGGUUUUUUGGUGCAGCCAAAAUGCCAUUCAGCUUGAAGAGAAGGAGAAAAGGGAGAAAGAAUUGAGAAUUAAAAUUAUUGAAGAAGCUGAGGAGUAUAAAAUAGGUUUCUAUGAGAAAAGAAAGCUUAAUGUUGAGAGUAACAAGGUUAACAACAGAGAAAGAGAGAAGGUAUAGUUUUGUUUGCCAUCUUCUUUCAAGGGUGUGUUCUUCGUUUUCUUCUCUAGCUCUUUUUUCUUAGUAUAGAUUUUUCGCGUUUUUGGGGCAGCUAUACUUGGCAAAUCAGGAGAAGUUUCAUAAAGAGGCUGAUAAACAAUACUGGAAAGCAAUUGCAGAACUAAUUCCUAACGAAGUUCCUAAUAUUGAGAAAAAGAGAGGAAAGAAGGAUCAAGAAAAGAAACCAUCAAUACUAGUUGUUCAGGGUCCAAAGCCUGGGAAACCUACCGAUCUUUCAAGAAUGCGGCAAAUUCUCGUGAAAUUGAAGCACACACCCCCACCUCAUAUGAAACCACCACCACCCCCACCUGCCAAGGAUGCCAAGGACGCCAAGGACACCAAAGACGGCAAAGACGCUAAAGAUGGAAAGGAUGCCAAAAAUGAAAAAGAUGCAGCAACAAAAGCAUCCGACCCUACACCUGGGGCUGCCACGGCCAAUGGCACUUCUCACAAACCUCAAGAACCAAGUGUUGCUCCCGCUGCCGAUGAAGAUCAAACUGCUACAUAAUGACAUAGCCAUAGCCAUUAUCAACUUCUUUCUGCUCAAUACUUUUACAUUUUCCCUUUG